UUUAUCGGAGAGUUUGAUCCUGGCUCAGGACGAACGCUGGCGGCGUGCCUAAUACAUGCAAGUCGAGCG
This 69-nucleotide ribosomal RNA is filed under the name Bacillus velezensis. Its description in RNAcentral is "partial 16S ribosomal RNA". It matches the Rfam family "Bacterial small subunit ribosomal RNA", at positions 1 to 68 of the family's 1533-position model. Lineage: Bacteria; Bacillati; Bacillota; Bacilli; Caryophanales; Bacillaceae. RNAcentral also lists the same sequence under 1 other name. The record is from RNAcentral.